AUGCCAGGGCCUGGAGCCUCACGGGGUGGUCACAGGACCAGCAGCAACAUCUGCUUCAUCUGGGACCCUUUCAGAAAUGCAGAAUCUCAGGACCACCCUGGAACUCCUGAAUCAUAAUCUGCAUUUUAACAGGAAUCUCCUCAGGAAAAGAAGCUAAAAUGUCAAGAAAGAAGCCACAGGUUCCCCAUUUUUCACUGAGGAGCUGUGAGCAGCAAAAAGCAUCAUGCAGCAUUGGAGCCCCUUGGGUGAGGAGGAAUGACCUGCACAGCAGAGUCCUCAGGUGACGCUCUCAUAUGUCCCUGACAACAGGCGGAACAUCAGAUAUAGCAAAUACCAGCAAGAACACCAACAGAGCAAAGUCCGGGCAGGACCCGGAUCCCAGGAAAAGCCUGGCUGUUUCUAGUAAGGCAUGGGGAUUCUCAAAGUCACUAUUGUGUUCAUUGCACCUCUUUAAAAAAAAAAAAGCAAAAUAAACUCCACAUUUCCCUGUGUGUACAGAA
Molecule: long non-coding RNA, 500 nt
Organism: Galeopterus variegatus (Sunda flying lemur)
Lineage: Eukaryota; Metazoa; Chordata; Mammalia; Dermoptera; Cynocephalidae
Exons: 2
Source: RefSeq, a predicted model, not a curated record